ACAAUGGCGUAACAAAGGGAAGCGAACCCGUGAGGGGGAGGCAAAUCCCAAAAAUAAACGUCCCAGUUCGGACUGUAGUCUGCAACCCGACUACACGAAGCUGGAAUCGCUAGUAAUCGCGAAUCAGAAUGUCGCGGUGAAUACGUUCCCGGGUCUUGUACACACCGCCCGUCACACCAUGGGAGUCGGGAAUGCCCGAAGUCAGUGACCCAACCUUUGGAGGGAGCUGCCGAAGGCAGGUCUGAUAACUGGGGUGAAGUCGUAACAAGGUACC
Molecule: ribosomal RNA, 274 nt
Filed under: uncultured bacterium
Lineage: Bacteria
Description: partial 16S ribosomal RNA
Rfam family: Bacterial small subunit ribosomal RNA
Source: RNAcentral